GACAAGAGAGGUUCUGCUGUCCUGUCUUCGUCGUUGAAACUGAAAAAUAGGGAAAAUGGGACUUUGUGAGUUUAGAAGGACACCCAUUUUUAUUUUGUCCUUCCUGUUUUGGAUCACAGGAUGUGCACCGCAAAAAGUGUAUUUUGACUGCGGAGCCAAAGUGGAUGUUGUAGAUGCCCAAGGGCUCAUUCUGUCCCCUGGAUUUCCCUAUAACUACUCAUCAGGGACUCACUGUGUGUGGCAGUUCUUUGUGCCUGUAGGCCACCAGCUCAUAAUGGAGAUGUUUGACUUUGACGUCUUCGAGAAUCACAAUAGCCAGGCCAGAUUUUCAGCAAUAUCAGAGGGGGGCCUGGACGAGGACGAGAUGAUGGAUGACAGUGCUGUGUACUCGACUGUGAGGUCAGAGGCGGUGGGUUCCGCAACCCAGCCCGAAGACCUCGCCCCGCCGACCCAAGACAGCAGCAGCAGCAGUCCCAAGGAGCCCCAGUCUUCGCCAAAGGACGUGGUCAAGCCCGUGGUCAUCCAAGAGCAGUCCACAAAAAUGGAGAUGGCCAAAGUGUCCAACUCUGCCAAAUGGUCCUCGUCUUCGCCGUCGAUUGUCCCUUCACUGCAGUCCCCUUCACAGCAGGGUACUGGGAUGGAGCCUCAGGGAGACAAAGCCCUGAACGACAUCUCCCCUCAGGGCCUCAGGGCUGACGCCAGACUGGGGGGGGGUGAGUUCGUGAGCGACCCUACCUCGCCUCCCCCUUUGCCCACAGAUGCCGAGUCAGUAAGUCCGGAGACGCAGCAAUCACAAGUAGACGCGUGCCCGCAUGACGUCCUCUAUAUCUCUGACCUGAUCACCUUCUCCUCUCGCUUCUGUGGCGCCAAUCGGCCAGCCAGUAGCCAGCUGGUGUUUGGCUCUUCAGAUGGGAUGGUGGAAGUGAUCAUGGAGCUUAUCACCACCACCCACUGGGGCCGCGGCUUCGCACUUCUCUUCCACUACCGCAACCACACCGAUGCCAUGGCCGACCAGCGCUCCCUCACCCCCACGGCCAGGAAAAUGGACGCCCUGCUGGCCAUUGUGAGUGGGGCAGCCUUCUUUGCUGUGGCUCUCUCUUGUGUGCUCUUUAUUGUCUUCAGACCAAAACUAUGCGCUAAAGGAGCCAGCGCAUCUCCCUCCAGCAACCCUGAGGUGCCACAGCUUGUGCAGAACCCUGGGGUGGAUGUCAGUGAGCUCCAGCUGGUGCCUCCCAAUGACCUUGGACAAGAGGUUGUGCCCAAGAAUGGCAACAACAACCGCUCACACAGCCUGAGCCUGCCAAACACAGGGUUGUCAUUCACCGCUGGCGGUGAGGUUUCCACCAAUCCUGAGCUGGACAUCUCCUCUGGUGGGCUCACAGAGCUUGAGCUGGGCACAGAUGAGGUGUUUGUGAUCUCCUCCGGACCCAUUCCAAGCAGAUUGCCAUUCUGUCUCCACACGCGGGAUAGGUUCCUGCGACACAGCGAUACUGGUCCAUCCCAUGUAAGUGACUGGCCAUCUCAAGAGCCCUCUGCCCUACCUACAGCUACCCCUGCAGGAACUACGGGGUCUUUCAGCAGUGCUCGGCCGCGAGCCUGGAGCGUCCGCACCUUCCAGGACUUUCUGCCUCCUCUGCCACAGCUGCAUAAGAAGUGGUGCAGCUGGAACUCCACCAGCCCCUUCACCAAGCUGGUUGACAGUGCACCCUCCAGCUCGGUAGCAGACUGCCAAACUGACGGCAAGAGGAAGGUCUUCUCUGACCCCCAGCUCGGGAGCAAGACCGACACCAGCCAGUCCGACUCCUCCAUGAGUAACGCCUCCUAUCCCCUCGCCCAGCCCGCUCAGCGCCAGCGUCGCCUCAACUCCACCAGCAACCUGCGCCGCACCCGCUUUGCCUCCCCCUGCUUCGGCCUCCUCUCUGGGUCGCCGGAGAGCAGCAAGUCGGCCCCUGUGGGCUACCAGGGUGCUGAUCCCCAUAGCGGAGGCAGUUCCCCGGGGCAACAACAGCAGCUUGGUGAAGCGCUGGCAGGGAAUGUCAGAGAUUUCGCUGGAGGGGGCGACGAUCACAUCAACGUGCCGGUAUUCGCCAUAUCAGAGGAGGAGGACCGGCAGCCACUGGUGCUGGCCGAGCACCUCAGCCAGUCCUCCGUCAUGCACAACGGACUGUGCCAGGGCAAAAGGCUCACAGACGGGGGCGCAGUCAACGGAUCCGUCCUGUCCCGCGGCAAGUCUGAGUGGAGGCCGUGGGCCAAUAACACCACAGGAGAGGCGGGGCUUCUCCUGGCUGACAUGCCCACUGGAGUUGCAGAUCCAGCGUUGGUGAUGUCAAACAGCUUGUCUGGUCAGAUACAACUGUCCUCUCUUGGCCAAUAAACAAAGCCAUGCAGUAUGAUGGGCCAAGGACAUGACCAAUCAAAGCACUGUUUGGAGUCGGAACUGAGAAAUGACUCGACUCCUAAGUUGAACCAGCCAUGUUGAGCUGGUACUACACUGGCAAGGGCAAACCGGCCAAACAGCCUUUGAAAAUAAAUUCCUGCAGUUAAACGUGCCGUGAAUCUAUCUGAUUCUUCUUGACAAAGAGUGAGGAAAGAACUUUUUUUCUAUAUAUGUGUGUAAUCAUUUUUGUUACUCUUUACCAUCCAUUUACCUACCAUUAUAUCUGCACAAGAUCUGGUCAAUAUAUUAUCAGACUGAAUGAAGCAUAACUGCAAAAUCACAGCUGAACUACCUAAUGUCAUGUAUCUGAUCUGUCUCCACUUAACAAGUAGCCUAAUCCAUUUCAGUCUCUGCUUUUAUGUUGCUUAUAAAUGAAAAUAACAUCGUAUAUGUAAAUACAGUAGUUAGAGGUAAAGGUAUUACAUUUUACCAUCCACUAGUGCUAUGAAUUAAUACUUACUGAAACAAUAGAUUGUAUGUUUCUUUUCUAUAUCAAAGUGAUAUUCCAAAUACCUGCACUUUUUUUUCUACACAACCUUGUCCUUAAUCCUUCAGUACUAUGUAGAGGACCAAUUAGUGUGGAUCGAGCAGCAAGCCGCUUGGCAGGCCCUCUCUGUGAUUCACUUAGUUAUUCAUUGGUCCAACAUGCUUCUGCACACUGCGUUAUAUAACGUGUAUGGCCCUGUUCCUACUUGUGCGUCAUAUCAGCACACCUUCAGUGGGACCGCGGCCAAUGCUGCUACUGCUGUUGCUGCUACGCGUGCUCACGCAUAACCUCCGCUCGGCAAGACCUCCGGUACUUUCCUCUGCCCUGCUGGAUCGCGACC
Molecule: long non-coding RNA, 3264 nt
Organism: Clupea harengus (Atlantic herring)
Lineage: Eukaryota; Metazoa; Chordata; Actinopteri; Clupeiformes; Clupeidae
Source: Ensembl